This 276-nucleotide ribosomal RNA is filed under the name uncultured prokaryote. RNAcentral's name for it is "partial 16S ribosomal RNA". It matches the Rfam family "Bacterial small subunit ribosomal RNA", at positions 524 to 800 of the family's 1533-position model. The record is from RNAcentral.
UACGUAGGGGGCUAGCGUUAUCCGGAUUUACUGGGCGUAAAGGGUGCGUAGGCGGUCUUUCAAGUCAGGAGUGAAAGGCUACGGCUCAACCGUAGUAAGCUCUUGAAACUGUAAGACUUGAGUGCAGGAGAGGAGAGUGGAAUUCCUAGUGUAGCGGUGAAAUGCGUAGAGAUUGGGAGGAACACCAGUGGCGAAGGCGACUUACUGGGCCGUAACUGACGCUGAGGCGCGAAAGCGUGGGGAGCGAACAGGAUUAGAUACCCUGGUAGUCCCUGA